CCUACGGGUGGCUGCAGUGAGGAAUAUUGGUCAAUGGGCGCGAGCCUGAACCAGCAAAGUAGCGUGAAGGAUGACUGCCCUACGGGUUGUAAACUUCUUUUAUAAAGGAAUAAAGUGAGGAACGUGUGCCUUUUUGUAUGUACUUUAUGAAUAAGGAUCGGCUAACGCCGUGCCAGCAGCCGCGGUUAUACGGAGGAUCCGAGCGUGAUCCGGAUUUAUUGGGUAUAAAGGGAGCGUAGAUGGGUUUUUAAGUCAGUUGUGAAAGUUUGCGGCUCAACCGUAAAAUUGCAAUUGAUACUGGCAGCCUUGAGUACAGUUGAGGUAGGCGGAAUUCGUUGUGUAGCGGUGAAAUGCUUAGAUAUCACGAAGAACUCCGAUUGCGAAGGCAGCCUACUAAACUGCCACUGACAUUGAUGCUCGAAAGUGUGGGUAUCAAACAGGAUUAGAUACCCGAGUAGUC
RNAcentral lists this ribosomal RNA (460 nucleotides) under uncultured bacterium. Its description in RNAcentral is "partial 16S ribosomal RNA". It matches the Rfam family "Bacterial small subunit ribosomal RNA", at positions 338 to 795 of the family's 1533-position model. The record is from RNAcentral.